AUUACCAUUAAAACCAUCAUACUUGCCAACCUUUGAUAUUUAUCAAGGUUGUAAAGUUAUUAAAGUAGUAUUAUUGAUAUUUAUCAGGUUGAUCACCCAUUACAGAAUGUCUCAGUUCAAACUGCCAGGCUAAAAGAGAGUAGAUAUUGAUUCUAAGAUAAGCUACAAGGAUGUUUCCUGGAAGAUGAGAAACAUUUCAAGAACCGAUAAGCAAACUCGAUACAACAAUCACAUGGCACCAAGCAAACUGCAACCAAGCAUAAGACAAAUUCUGCAUAAUCCAUUAGUCUUUCUGAAAGUGUCCAUUCAACCUUCAGUACAGGACUAAAGAUCACUUUUGCUGUUGAUCUCCACAUAAUGCCUUCAGAUCAUUUACUGUUCUACAUACUCAUAGAAUACAUUAAAAGCCAGCUAAGGUGAAGCAAAAUUGAAAAGGAUAAUUAAAAUGGAGAAAGGGAGUAUUGAGCAGAAUAAAACCAUGAUUGCUAUCAGUCGAUAUCAUCAGCAAUAUAGGCGUACAAGAAUUUGGAAUCUUAUAUGAGUUUACUAGGAUUAUGCUCAUGCGGGACAAUCUCUAGAGAUUAGUUGGAUUUGAAGGCCUGUUAGGGGAAUUCUGGAACCUCAUGAUGAAAAUUAUUUCAAGGAGAUGAAAACAUUCAUCAGAUCAUCCCUUCCAAAUUAGUAGCAUGGCUACUGCCUAGAUGGCGAACAACUUCCAUUGCCAUGGGUCUCACUCAACUGCCAACAGCCAACAGCAAACCUGCAGCAUGAAUGUUAGUCAUACUAUUAGGUACUAACUCAGAUAUGCAGUAAAUGAAAUUAUAAUAGUAGAUGAACUUGCAUUUUAAAAAGAUAGAAACCAUAAAUCAUAUAUAUAGCUCAUCUUAAAGUUUGAAAUGAGCUUCCAUAUCAGAAUUUAAUGGCUGCUAUUCAAAGUUUUGCUUACACUUCUCCAAAUAUUUUCUGCAAGGUUCCAUCAUGGCAGAACUGAGCUAUGGAAUUAGAGAAAGAUAUCAAUGAUAUCAGCAACAGAACAUUCAUUUAUUAUGCCACAUGAAUGGUGAUGAUCCCCACCAUCAUAAAUGACCUUUGGAAGCAGUGAAUGCAUGCCUCCAACUCUGGCCCUGGAAAAUGCAGGGGAUUCAUUAAUGCCACCCUCAAAAUCAAA
This 1168-nucleotide unclassified non-coding RNA is filed under the name Hevea brasiliensis (rubber tree). Lineage: Eukaryota; Viridiplantae; Streptophyta; Magnoliopsida; Malpighiales; Euphorbiaceae. The record is from RNAcentral.